Molecule: transfer RNA, 81 nt
Filed under: Acidimicrobiia bacterium
Lineage: Bacteria; Bacillati; Actinomycetota; Acidimicrobiia
Description: tRNA-Tyr
Rfam family: tRNA
About the family: Transfer RNA (tRNA) molecules are approximately 80 nucleotides in length.
Source: RNAcentral
GGGUCGGUACCUGAGCGGCCAAAGGGGGCAGACUGUAAAUCUGCUGCGAGAGCUACGUAGGUUCGAAUCCUACCCGGCCCA